Molecule: ribosomal RNA, 200 nt
Filed under: uncultured bacterium
Lineage: Bacteria
Description: partial 16S ribosomal RNA
Rfam family: Bacterial small subunit ribosomal RNA
Source: RNAcentral
UACGAAGGGUGCAAGCGUUGUUCGGAUUUAUUGGGCGUAAAGCGUACGUAGGCGGUUUUAUAAGUCAGGUGUGAAAUCUUGGGGCUCAACCCCGAAACUGCGCCUGAAACUGUAUAACUAGAAUCUUGGAGGGGAAGGUAGAAUUUCGCAUGUAGGGGUAAAAUCCGUAGAGAUGCGAAGGAACAUCAGAGGCGAAGGCG